This 218-nucleotide unclassified non-coding RNA is filed under the name fungal sp. RNAcentral's name for it is "partial internal transcribed spacer region". The stretch from base 1 to 46 matches the Rfam family "Eukaryotic small subunit ribosomal RNA", at positions 1786 to 1831 of the family's 1831-position model. Lineage: Eukaryota; Fungi. The record is from RNAcentral.
AAGUCGUAACAAGGUCUCCGUUGGUGAACCAGCGGAGGGAUCAUAUUAUGGAAAGAUAGCUCUGGGUUAUGCCUAGGGUUAAAAACAGAAGAGCAUUUGGAGUUAAUGAAGGAUGUUGUUGUAGCAACAACAGACUUUUUAAAAUUGGGUUAUAAAAAGAUAAAUUUAUUAUAUAAAGUAAAUCCAAACAACUUUUAACAACGGAUCUCUAGGCUCUU